Long non-coding RNA from Oryzias melastigma (Indian medaka), 751 nucleotides. RefSeq lists it as uncharacterized. NCBI's taxonomy places the organism in Eukaryota, Metazoa, Chordata, Actinopteri, Beloniformes, Adrianichthyidae. The transcript has 2 exons. The record is from RefSeq and is a predicted model, not a curated record.
CGUCCUGUAAUAGACCCGGGCAGCCCAGGGAGAGAUUUCAUAAAUCAAAUUCCUUCUGCUUUCAGUCUGAUUAAACUGUCCGGUCCAAACUCUCUUUAAGUGUAGACAGACUGAAAACAAAUAUUAAACAAUUAUAUAUAUAUAUAAAAAAAGGAGUGGGCUUAAAGAAGUUACAGAGAGAACGAGGUGUCUAGUAGAGGGAGCUCUAUCCGAUUAGUCAGGAGGAUUUUUAAGCCACACACUGACAUGCUCGCAGGAACACAUGCUUACAUGCUCAAGCUACAGCGGUACAGCCAUCCGCCGCCGCCCGGGGGGUUUGGCUUCACAAAAUGCCAUCACAAAAAAGAGAUUGCUAACAGUUUACGCCACGCUGACACUUUCCAGCUGGCUACCCGCAAAGGUCAGGCUCUCCACCUGCAGGCGGCGGCAGAAAGGGAGAGGAGCUGACGUCACCACGGAGAUCUGGCAGCCUCGCCAGCGCGCUAACCAGUUCAUCGUUUAGUCAGGGCGUGGGCCGUUCAAGACGUCGUGCUAACAGCUAAAGGCUAACGCCACCGGCAGCCGGGCUCUGCUGGAUGUGCCAAAGAAAAGAUAGGGACAAGCCUCAGUGACAGCAACAGCCAGCCGAGCAGCACAGCGCCAAGGCCUUUCCUGCACCGCCACCAGCAGCUGCACACAAAUGCAAUUUAAAGAAACACACACUGUUUUACACUAUAUUAUUUCAUGUUAAAAUGUCUCUUUUUCAUCUGCA